GACGAACGCUGGCGGCGUGCCUAAUACAUGCAAGUAGAACGCACAGUUUAUACCGUAGCUUGCUACACCAUAGACUGUGAGUUGCGAACGGGUGAGUAACGCGUAGGUAACCUGCCUGGUAGCGGGGGAUAACUAUUGGAAACGAUAGCUAAUACCGCAUAAUAUUAAUUAUUGCAUGAUAAUUAAUUGAAAGGUGCAAUUGCACCACUACCAGAUGGACCUGCGUUGUAUUAGCUAGUAGGUGAGGUAACGGCUCACCUAGGCGACGAUACAUAGCCGACCUGAGAGGGUGAUCGGCCACACUGGGACUGAGACACGGCCCAGACUCCUACGGGAGGCAGCAGUAGGGAAUCUUCGGCAAUGGACGAAAGUCUGACCGAGCAACGCCGCGUGAGUGAAGAAGGUUUUCGGAUCGUAAAGCUCUGUUGUAAGAGAAGAACGGGUGUGAGAGUGGAAAGUUCACA
RNAcentral lists this ribosomal RNA (464 nucleotides) under Streptococcus gordonii. Its description in RNAcentral is "bacterial SSU rRNA". It matches the Rfam family "Bacterial small subunit ribosomal RNA", at positions 28 to 468 of the family's 1533-position model. Lineage: Bacteria; Bacillati; Bacillota; Bacilli; Lactobacillales; Streptococcaceae. The record is from RNAcentral.